GUUGUAGCUCAGUGGUAGAGUGCUUGCCUCGCACUCGUGAAGCCCUGGGUUCGAUCCUCAGCACCACA
This 68-nucleotide transfer RNA is filed under the name Marmota monax (woodchuck). RNAcentral's name for it is "tRNA.Ala". The stretch from base 3 to 63 matches the Rfam family "tRNA", at positions 6 to 65 of the family's 71-position model. From Rfam's summary of the family: Transfer RNA (tRNA) molecules are approximately 80 nucleotides in length. Their secondary structure includes four short double-helical elements and three loops (D, anti-codon, and T loops). Lineage: Eukaryota; Metazoa; Chordata; Mammalia; Rodentia; Sciuridae. The record is from RNAcentral.